RNAcentral lists this unclassified non-coding RNA (341 nucleotides) under soil metagenome. RNAcentral describes it as "partial contains 5.8S ribosomal RNA, internal transcribed spacer 2, and large subunit ribosomal RNA". The stretch from base 1 to 120 matches the Rfam family "5.8S ribosomal RNA", at positions 35 to 154 of the family's 154-position model. The record is from RNAcentral.
GAUGAAGAACGUAGCGAAAUGCGAUAAGUAGUGUGAAUUGCAGAAUUCAGUGAAUCAUCGAAUCUUUGAACGCACAUUGCGCCCUUUGGUAUUCCAAAGGGCAUGCCUGUUCGAGCGUCAUUUGUAUCCUCAAGCUUUGCUUGGUGUUGGGCGUCUUGUCUCUAGCUUUGCUGGAGACUCGCCUUAAAGUAAUUGGCAGCCGGCCUACUGGUUUCGGAGCGCAGCACAAGUCGCACUCUCUAUCAGCAAAGGUCUAGCAUCCAUUAAGCCUUUUUUUCAACUUUUGACCUCGGAUCAGGUAGGGAUACCCGCUGAACUUAAGCAUAUCAAUAAGCGGAGGA